This 465-nucleotide ribosomal RNA is filed under the name uncultured ammonia-oxidizing bacterium. RNAcentral's name for it is "bacterial SSU rRNA". It matches the Rfam family "Bacterial small subunit ribosomal RNA", at positions 198 to 644 of the family's 1533-position model. The record is from RNAcentral.
GGAGGAAAGUAGGGGAUCGAAAGACCUUGCGCUUUUGGAGCGGCCGAUGUCUGAUUAGCUAGUUGGUGGGGUAAGGGCCUACCAAGGCGACGAUCAGUAGUUGGUCUGAGAGGACGACCAGCCACACUGGGACUGAGACACGGCCCAGACUCCUACGGGAGGCAGCAGUGGGGAAUUUUGGACAAUGGGCGCAAGCCUGAUCCAGCAAUGCCGCGUGAGUGAAGAAGGCCUUCGGGUUGUAAAGCUCUUUCAGUCGAGAAGAAAAGGCUGCAGUGAAUAACUGUAGUUUAUGACGGUAUCGACAGAAGAAGCACCGGCUAACUACGUGCCAGCAGCCGCGGUAAUACGUAGGGUGCGAGCGUUAAUCGGAAUUGCUGGGCGUAAAGGGUGCGCAGGCGGUUUUGUAAGUCAGAUGUGAAAUCCCCGGGCUUAACCUGGGAAUUGCGUUUGAAACUACAAAGCUAG